This is a long non-coding RNA of Falco peregrinus (peregrine falcon), 6974 nucleotides long. RefSeq lists it as uncharacterized. The transcript has 2 exons. NCBI's taxonomy places the organism in Eukaryota, Metazoa, Chordata, Aves, Falconiformes, Falconidae. The record is from RefSeq and is a predicted model, not a curated record.
UGCACCCCCCCACUGCACCCCCGGCGGGUUAAGGCAGAAAGCUGAGGGGGCAGCGCUCGGGUCCCUGCUCCAGCCACGUCUUGCACGCUGCUUUGGUACAGCUCCUUUUGCAGCUUCUCGGUGCCUCCUUUGUGUCUCUGCAUCAGUCUCUGUGGAUCAGGGUGUGUUUUCCCGUCCAGUUCUGACCAUUUCCAUGGGAUCUGAAUAGGCUCUGUGUGCUGCAGUAACUGCAGAGUUAACGCGCUUCCUUGUGCUGGUGGCUGGUGUGAGCUUGGUGCUGAAUGGAGUCCAAGACAGUCGCAGGCUUGUUAAACUCCUUUGUAGCUGUUCAUUAGCUCCCUGGUUUCUCCUGCUACUUGCAGGACGUUUCCCAGAGUGGAGGGUAGUGUCUUCCCUUUGGAAUAAGCCAUCGGGGCCUCGACAUGAUUGGCCUGGUUUCGAGCUUUUGUGUUUUCCAAUCAGUUCCCCCUCCUACGAUUGUGCCUUUGUUCCUCAGUCUAACUCCCCGCUUCCCUCCGAGGGCAGAGCUCCAGCCUCCCGUAGCAGGGACCCAGGAGGAGUGAGGCUCUGCCCAUCCCGGCUGGCACGAGGAGCUGAGCCGUCGCCGCUCCGGCUCUGCCCGCCAGCGCUGCCCCCACCCCAGUGCUCAGCCUCCCCUUGUGCAGAUCCCAACUGCUGGGGGUGGCAGCGCUGUGGGAAAUGGACGUGAGUGCUGGAGCUUGCCAAGGGUGACGAGGCCUCGCAGGGUCACGUCGCCUGGAGGGUCUGUGCCGUCACCGGUGCUGCCCGGCCAAAGGGCUGGGGUGCGAGAAGGUGGCAGCCGCAGCCAAAUAAGAAGGUGUCUUGUCCUUCAAACGAACCCUUCGGUGAGGCCAGGCUCCUCCAGAGCUCCUCAGGGCUCUCCAGACUUGUGCUGCCACCCCUUCAGAAUGGGUUGUUAGUUUAGGCCUCCUCUUAUCCUCUUUUAUUUACAGGUCUUUUAAAUGGGAUUUAAUCCAAACCUAGGACGGGAAAGGCAGACUGUUUGCUCCUCAGUCAGCCUGAGGAUCAUCAGCUGUGGGCAGCUUAUCGGCAUACUGUGACAGAGGCUGCAGCAGGCUUGCCCUGCUCACCCCUGCCAGGAAAGUUGCUGUGGGUGUGCCUGGAAGCUGUUCAGGUGGAAAGAAAGGGACAUGGUGCUUGUGGCCUCCGUCAGGUGUCAGGCUGGGCAACAUAGCAUAAAGCUGCACAUGCCCCCACUUGGAGGAGCCCUUCUGGGUCUGCCUGAGGCUGCAGAGGUGGAAGAGGGACCCUAUUAAGAUGCUAGUCUUCUCCUCCAGCACAGCAAACCAGAGUAAUUGGUUAAUAGGCAGCCAAGCCUCUGUGGCAUCUGAUUGUAUUAAAGAAUCACAUAAAUGGGAGAAAGCUGCUGUUAACUCCCUGCAUCCCAGUCUGCUGAGCCCUCCAGCCCCUUGCUGGGGGGAUGCAGUGCCAUUUGUGGCUGUCUCUGCUGACUUUAGGUGGUUUGCUGAUGCUCUUAAUGUUUCUCAUCUGACAUCUGUCUGCACAACAGGGGUGUGUGCUCCGAAGCUGAACUUCCUGGAGAGCUGGAGGUGUUAAAGAUGGACUGUUCCUACUGUGCUGUGCUUAGUCAGCCUCAUUUGUGCUGGUGGAGUUAAAUAAGCAGCCGUCAUCCCACCCUGGAUGCGUAUCAGCUCUCAGACCUUUGUGUAACUGAGAUCCUCUGCCAGGGAGGCACAGCUCCGCUGCGCUGCCCAGACCUGAGCAGGCUGGCGCUGGCUCUUUUCUUAAGAGACAAGAGUGAAGCUCUGGCUGCCAAGAGCUCUUCUCCUUCAGUUGUUACAACAGACAAACAAGAAGUUAAAAAUUAAUUUACUAAUGGGCUCUCAUUUGUCCGAGCAGUUGUUGUGUGCCAAGGCAGCGCUUCACCUUGCUGUGACCACAGUUUGUGCUACUGCCGGUGCCGCGGCCAUGUGCGGCCUGAGCAAACAAAAGCAGCUUGGCCAUCCUCGCCAGUUGGGUGAGUGUCACUGCCAGGACUUGGUCUUGGGGGUGCUCCGUGCAGACUGGGCUUCCAGAGGGCAGAGCUGAGUGGGUGCAGGUCACUGACACUGUUCAACCUGUGGAACCCCCUUUGCAAGGGGAAGAGCUUCCCAGGUUCUGAAUUGAUGGUACAAGUUGGUUUGGGGGACCUGGCACUGGAUCACAAGUGACAUGGCUGUAGAACAUUAAGCUUUGAUAUAGUGUGCCUUGGCUUAAACUUGGUUAAAAGACUGGCAAACAUGCAGACUUUAUGCUGAAGCAGAUAUUAUCUGUCUUUCUAACUCAUCUGCUGGCUGUUACCCGCUCUAAAGUGGGCAUAAUUUUCUUGUGAACUCAUGAGCUGGGUUGAGGGCCAGCUCACAUCUCUUCUGCUGGGCAAUAACCUGUUAGCAGGCAGACCUGGGAGUCCGGCCAUGCCUUCAGCCUCCCUACAGCCAGCUUAAGGGUUUCCAAACAAACCUUUUAGCCAGCCAGGCUCCUGUCCCUCCUGCCAGCCUCCUGCAGGGUUGGGUGCUGCCAGUCCGCUGUGCAGCUCCCAGCACGGGGCCAUGCUGCAGUGGGCAAGCGGGGAGGCAGGAACACUGGCUACGGAGCUGGUGGAGGCAGUCACCCCUGUGUUUCCUCAGAGGGCUCCUUUCUGGGUUUUCGGGCACCAUGGUGCUGUUAGGUCAGCUCGAGCCAGCCUGCGGUGGACUAUUUAAAGUGCAACACAAAUGGUCCUUGCCAUUUUGCAGGCAGACCCCUGCAUCUCUGCCCUCCUGAGAGCUUUGCUCCUGGUUAGCAGUGGCCAUUUGAUGAAAGGCUUUGCCUGCCCUGCCCAGAGUUAAGUACAGUCUUACUCUGUUUUUAGCCAGCUUUGAAGCUGGGGUCUGCUCCCUCCCACAGAGAAGCUCCCAGCUGCCUUGCUCUUUGCAGUGGUACCUCUGCUUGCCUGGGGGCUGGUGCACAGUUGCUAUUCAUGCCUACACCUAAUCCAGCCUGGUCGGGGAAGCAGGACGCCUGGAUGCUGUCCUACACAGUGCUUGAUUUGGAAAAAGCUUGCAAUGGCUGUGGCUGCUGCUCUGGUGUUUGCUGCAAACAUUGAGUACCGCUGGGAAACAGCAGUAGCAUGCACCGUGGUCCCGGGAGGAUCACGGGCAGCAGGGAGAGGGACCCUGCAGGAAGAAGGAGAAGGGCCUGCAGGGUAGGGCAUGAAGCACACCUUCAGCAGGGAGCCCAAGAUCACACAAGAAACAAAGCAGUAAUUAGAGCUUCAGUUUCCUCUUCUUUGUUGAUGUCUUGAUAUGAUCUUUCUUAGGAAAUGCUGUGCCUACAGAGGAGAGCAGUCAGGGACUCCGUGUGAAACCUGAGACUUGCUUCUUGGAGAAUAGGAUCUCUUUCCCAAAAGUCCCAAGUCCAGCUGGACUUCCAGGGCCAUUGCCCUCUAGGGAGGGUGGGAAGGAGGCUGUGCUGCCGGGAAUGGCUGUGGUCCAGCAUGCUCCUAGGCUUUUAGAUAGAUGUCUGGUGCUCAGCAGGGUGGAGAAUGUUUCUUUCUCGAAGCUGAGCUGGGGGAGCAGGGUGGUGGGCUGAACAUGGCAGGGGGAGGAUUGGGGAGCAUGGAGGGAACCAGUCUUGCCAGCUCCGCUGGCCCUUGGUGCAUCCCGCCUGGCUGUGGAUUCCCCUGGGGUUGUCUCCCUGCUAUUUGGGGAGUGGGGCAAAAGAAGCAUGUGCCUGUGAGCCCUCACGGACCGUAGCUGCUGUCAAAACCUAAAGCAGCCCCAAAGCUUGAAACCUAAAGCAGCCCCAGCCUGUCAGCCCCAGGACUAGGAAACCACAUCGGAGUGCCCACCUUCAGUCUGAAUGAAUUCUGUGUGCCCUGGGGUCUGCCCUGGGCUUGGAAAUUUGAGUUUCUAAGCUUUUCACAUGCCUGAUGCUCUGCUUGUCAUUCUGCAGGUGACCAUUUUCUCUGGGUUGACAUAAAUGAUCAGAAGGAGCCAUCCAUCUUCCUGGAGGCGAUGAGUACUGCGAGCUGACAGCUCAGGGAUGUUGCGGCAUCUCUCGGCUCUGAUGACCUUGUGCGGUGCAUGCCAAUGCAGCCUCUGUGCUCCUGCCUGGGCUGUGGUGACCCUGUGCUUGUGCUCUGAGGUCUCAGGUCACCUCCUGACAGCAGGGGUUGAUUUUUUUGCUAUCUCUUCUUUCAUGCUCUAGUGACCGCUACAGCGGUCACUCCCCUGUGCCGGUGGCCAUGGGACCAGAGCCUGUCCCCAGGAAGUGGCUUCUCAGUCCCACCCAACGGUGGCUCCUUCAUCCAUCUACAGGGUUGUGCUGGGGGAGUUGUCCAACAGCCCUGGGCUCUGACAUCAGCUCCCUGUUGCCUGUCUUUAGAAAGAUUUUUGGACGCUUAAAAAGUAAGUGUCUGAAGCAGUGUGGUGGGUUGGUUGGGAGCCAGCUCACAGUGAUGGAGCUGGGGCCUCAGGGUGUGCAGGAUGGCAGGGAGAAGGUGAGUUGAACCAGGAUGGAGGACUGGCCAGUCCCCAAAGGUGGAGUCAGCACCAAAGGCAGAUGGUGCUGUGACUGCGAGCAAAGGGGAAUGGUUUCUACCAUCAUACUCACAGCCAAGAAGUUUAAAAUACAGUAAUGAUUUAUUGGAAUAUUGGCCCAUUGAGAAGUAAAUGUAAAGAAGCAAUGAAUGAGCAGGUUGUGAAAGGAUGGCCUGUUGAAACUGGACAGUUCCAGUAACGUUAGGGACAAAUUACUCCAUCCCAUCCACAGCAUUAUCUGCAGUGCUGUUUGCACAGGGCUGUUUACCCACCCUACGGAGGCACAUUUCAUGUUUGUCGUUCUGUGUAUCCCUGCCGGGGGGAUCAGACUUUCACCAGCCUGGCCACAGCACCCUCCCAUGAUGAAAGCAGCCACGUGUGUAUUUACUGAUAGACAUGCUGAACCCCCAUGCCCCCCACUGGCCUUGCCCUUACUAGAUAGGAGACGGGGGCCCUAGCCCCAGCGCAGGGGAUGGACACCCUCUGAGAUGGGCUGACCUUUCGCAGGACAUGUCUCUUCCCUUCAAACCAAAAUGCGGGUGAUCUUCUGGCAGUCUGGUUUGGGGCAGGCAGCCCUUCCCUAUCUCAGCACCGUAUGAGACGUUUCUCCGUGGAGGAGCCCGCAUGAUGGUUUUCCCCAAGGACAGGGCUGUGCAUGGCAGGAGGUGCCCAGGACCACCGCGCUAGCCCUGCUGAAGGCCAGCGCUCCCCAAGAGCACCAGCCCCAGCAGAGCACCUGCCUGUGCCUGAGCCAGGCUCUCCCUGGAGCCCGCAGCCCGUUUCACAAGAGCCGUGGUGGGAUGGUGCGGGGAGGGUGGAGCCCGUUAAACCCGUUUCACCACUGCAGGCAGGGCAGGAUUUCUCCACUGCUGCCUUUAGCUGGGUGAUGUUAAUGGAUGGCUCAAGAGCAGCGUGGAUGGCUGCCAAGAGAGAGUCGAUCCCUUGGCGGCAGAGGGGUCUGUGCUGUUGAUGGGGCAGCACCUGGGCUGCAGAGAGCUGUCAUGAGCUGGUGGUGGGUGUUUCUGCCUCCAUGAUUUGUAGCACCCUGCUGGUCUUCAAACAGCUUUUUGGGUUUUUUUUAUUUCUCCAGCUCUGAAAGCUAUCUUGGCUAAUGGGGAAGGGCACCAAGUCUCCUGGUGAGGGUAGGAACUGUAAGCACAGCAUCCUGGAGGCAGGCAGGAUUGCCUGCGGUGGCCUCAGUGUGUGGUCCCUGGCAUGGGUCUGGGCUGCUCGGCUGACCCUGUACACCUGCACCUUCUGCAAGUGGCUCGGGUGCCCCCUGAACAGGGUGGAGCGCAGGGCUCAGCUUUAGCUGAUGCUCUGGAGAGGAGUGGGAAGCCUGUUUGUGCCUUCCUGCUGUGCAGCCGGCAGGAGGGACAAGCUUCAGGCAUGAGUCCUGUGAGAGCUCUGCUGCUUUGCUUCCAGGCCCUUAGGAAUUAUUUUCCCUGGCCUGAAAGCAUCCUGUCAAAUCUGAAGUUAAAAGGAGCUUUUUGUAUGGAAAUCAGGUGCUUGUGUAUCUGCAUGUGAAAUUACCCUUAAAAUGGAGAGGCUGAAAUUGCUCUCCAGGUGCUCACUUCUCAUCAGAGCUGCGCGGAGACCUGCUGCUCUGCCUGCAGGAGCAGGAUGCUCAUGCAGGUGUAGUCACUCGAAGGAGUGGCAGAGGGCCAGUGCUGCCUCCUGCCCCUCUGUGGCUCCCAAACAGGGCAGUGGGUGCUCACUCGGGCACUUGCCUCCAGCCAGGGCUUUGCAGGGGGUGACAGUGCCAGCCCCGGCUGUGCAGCCUUAGGUUGUGUCAGCCCCUGGGGGUCUGCUCAUCUUCCCCAUCGUGGCUGCAUCCCCCCGCCCUCAGCACUGUCCUGGACACUGGAGCUGGGGGUUUUUGGACAGGCUGGCCAGGGGGUGGCUGGUGGGGUCCCUGGAAGCUGAUUGUUGAUGGGGUUUGAGGUCAUUAGCUGAGCCUGCGUGCACUGAUGCCGUCAUGUGCUGCGCAAUCAUCACAGGGCAGCACCUUCCCACUGUCCCUAAAAUCCUCCUCUGCUUCCCCCAGCUCUCCCCAGUGGUGCCCACGGGCUGUGGCCGUGUCCUUAAGUAGUGCUGCUGGCUCCUCCGCAAAGGAGAGCUAAAGCUUUUCUGGGAAAACCACACCAAGUGGCUGACAAACAGCUAAUAGCUGAGAGCCUUGGCUCAGCGUCCACGCCACCCCGCUUGCUCUUUCACCUCCUGAGCGCUCGCUGCCGGCUGUUCCUGCUGACUCCAUGGUGUUGCAAGAGCUGAAGCUGCUGGUUAAAGUCCGGGUAAACAGGUUGCAGAGCGCUCAGCAGCCCUGGCGAGGGAGGGGAGUUGAAAGAAGCUGCUGCUCGUGGGCAGUGGGGUGAUGUAUUUGCAUAGAAUAAAUUUUCUGCUGGAAUAUAA